Strongylocentrotus purpuratus (purple sea urchin) is the source of this 609-nucleotide long non-coding RNA. RefSeq lists it as uncharacterized. The record is from RefSeq and is a predicted model, not a curated record. Lineage: Eukaryota; Metazoa; Echinodermata; Echinoidea; Camarodonta; Strongylocentrotidae. The transcript has 3 exons.
AAAUAACGAUUGUGUAUGCAAAUGUCAAUGGUUGGUAACGCCCAUAAUAUGAAUAUUCAUGAGCUUGACUGAUAUUAUUAUCCUCUAUUCCAGGCACCUUUCCAUUUUGUGUUCUUUGUGCAUUCUUAUCAGAAAUCCUACGUGCGGUAAAUAAGUCUCUGUAUCACCAUUCUCCUUCUUAUUUGUAUGCAGAUUUGGUUAUAAUGAUUGAUAACUGUAAUCAUCCUCAUUAUUUUAAUAAGAAAUUUUUCUAUCUGUGAUGGAAGUUUUUAUGUACGAUUGCCUGAUCUGAAGACAAGACUUUCGCUGCAUGCAUAUUUAAUGUAUGACGUCACCCACACAGAGUGAGAGCUCGAAGUUUUCUUUGAAAGUUUGAUGGAAAAUGUACAGAGACUUGUCGCAGUUAAUGCAGUACCAAAUGCUUGCUUUCUUGGAGUAUGUGCUUGAAACAAGAAUGUCCUGGAGAAAACAGACCACCACAAGAGAAGGGAUUGAGAAGGAGGGCUUCCUGUUGACAGAUCAGGGGGUGCCUUGAGGUUCCACUCUUGAUGUUCUGCCCCUUACCUGAAAGCGAUGGCCUCUUGUGCCUGACAUAUUAGGAGCAAAGCA